This 81-nucleotide transfer RNA is filed under the name Astyanax mexicanus (Mexican tetra). It matches the Rfam family "tRNA". Rfam says of the family: Transfer RNA (tRNA) molecules are approximately 80 nucleotides in length. Their secondary structure includes four short double-helical elements and three loops (D, anti-codon, and T loops). Lineage: Eukaryota; Metazoa; Chordata; Actinopteri; Characiformes; Acestrorhamphidae. The record is from Rfam by way of RNAcentral.
ACCAGGAUGGCUGAGUGGUUAAGGCGUUGGACUUAAGAUCCAACGCCUUCGCCCUCGUGGGUUCGAACCCCACUCUUGGUA